RNAcentral lists this transfer RNA (85 nucleotides) under Cenarchaeum symbiosum A. RNAcentral's name for it is "tRNA-Leu (TAA) (tRNA-Leu-TAA-1-1)". It matches the Rfam family "tRNA". Rfam says of the family: Transfer RNA (tRNA) molecules are approximately 80 nucleotides in length. Their secondary structure includes four short double-helical elements and three loops (D, anti-codon, and T loops). Lineage: Archaea; Thermoproteati; Nitrososphaerota; Candidatus Cenarchaeales; Candidatus Cenarchaeaceae. The record is from RNAcentral.
GGAGGAGUAAUCAAGCCUGGCCAAAGAUGCAGGACUUAAGAUCCUGUCUCCUAGGGGUUCGUGGGUUCAAAUCCCACCUCCUCCA